Molecule: RNA transcript, 9461 nt
Organism: Oncorhynchus keta (chum salmon)
Lineage: Eukaryota; Metazoa; Chordata; Actinopteri; Salmoniformes; Salmonidae
Gene name: BTB/POZ domain-containing protein 7-like
Exons: 11
Source: RefSeq, a predicted model, not a curated record
GACAAUUCCAGAUUCGAACCAGUCAGCAACCAGCGUCUGGAUAGGCCACACCACCACCCACCCAACCAGGCGCCGCGCAAGGAUGAGUGUUUUUAAGGAAAAUCAAUCCAAGCUCAGGAACACGUCUUGAGUUUCUAUUCUCGGAAAAAGGACUUGCAAUUAGCUGAAAAGUCGAGGCAAAGUGGAUCUAAAGGCACAUGUAGGAUUCUCUCUGUGUAUUCGGCGUCAAUUUAUGCUUAAUGAUCGGUGUUACAAAGGGGAGUUGUGCGGUAGGUUAAGACAAAAAAAUUCUACAAGGAAAUCAUCAUAACUUCAUUCGGGAAUCCACUUAAAAGGGAGAAUUAUUUCGGAAAGAAGCUAAGUCUGCUCAAGGCAUGGCAGGUUGGGCUUGGGUGGCAGAGGAGGCUCCAGAGGACCCGGCCCUGAGAGAGGGAGCCGAUGGCUGAGGAAUGAAGUGCUUCGCCCGGGUAGAAUGAAGAUGCAGGAGGGGAGAUCCCAGAACAACAAGUGAAGAAGAGUCACAAUGGGUGCCAAUGCAUCCAGCUACUCGCACUCAUGCUCCCCUCGUAUAGGAGGAAACACACAGAUACAGCAGACCUUCAUAGGGACGUCGUCAUACUCCCAGCAGGGCUAUAGCUGGGAGUCCAAGCUGUACAGCCUGGAGCAGGGUCACGACAAGCCCCAUGACAGGAAGAAGAAGAGCCUGGGCCUGGCCACCCUCAAGAGGAGGUUCAUCAAGCGCCGUAAGUCCAGCCGUUCUGCGGACCAUGCCCGCCAAAUGAAGGAGCUCCUGUCGGGGUGGGAUGUGCGUGAUGCCAAUGCCCUGGUGGAGGAGUAUGAGGGCACAGCCUCCCUCAAGGAGCUGAGCUUCCAUGCCAGCUUGGCGCGGGCCAAGGCACCCAGCCUGCAGCGUGACCUGGCUGCCCUUUACCAGCACAAGUACUGCACCGACGUGGACCUCAUCUUCCAGGACACCUGUUUCCCCGCCCACCGCGCCGUGCUGGCUUCCCGCUGCCCCUUCUUCAAGACCCUACUGUCCUCCUCUCCGGGGUACGGAGCUGAGGUCCUUAUGGACAUUGAGACGGCGGGUAUCGAUGUGCCCAUGUUCUCUGCACUACUGCACUACCUGUACACGGGGGAGUUUGGGGUGGGUGGGGUGGAGGACUCCAGGCUGCAGAACGUGGACGUGCUGGUGCAGCUGAGCGAGGAGUUCGGCACGCCCAACUCCCUGGAGGCAGACAUGAGAGGGCUGUUUGACUACAUGUGUUACUACGACGCCCUGCUCAGCUUCUCCUCCGACGCGGAGCUGGUGGAGGCCUACAGCAGUGGGGGGGCUGGAGGGGGAGUGGCCACAGGAGGCUGCCGGGGGCUGGGUUCCCCAGACAAGGACCUGAGGGCCCACAAGGCCGUGCUCUCGGCCCGCUCACCCUUUUUCCGGAACCUUCUGCAGCGGCGCAUCCGCACAGGGGAGGAGAUGACGGAGCGCACGCUGCAGACACCCACACGCAUCGUGCUGGACGAGUCCAUCAUCCCGCGGAAGUACGUGCGAGUCAUCCUUCACUGCAUGUACACGGAUGCGGUGGAGCUGGGGCUGGUGCUGAGGGGGAGCCCCUCGGCCGGGAGCCUGGGGGAGGUGCAGGUCCUGGUGGCCGGGGGCAGGGGAGGAGCUAGCACCCGCACUGAGGAGGCCAUGGAGCUCUACCACAUCGCGCUCUUCCUUGAGUUCAGCAUGCUGGCACAAGGCUGUGAGGACAUUGUGGUGGAGAGCCUGUCCCUGGACUGCCUGGUUCCCAUCCUGAAAUGGAGCUCUCAGCCCUACGGCUCUAAGUGGGUCCACCGCCAGGCCCUACACUUCCUGUGUGAGGAGUUCAGCCAGGUCGUGACCUCUGACGUACUCUACGAGCUCAGCAAGGAGCACCUGCUCACCGCUAUCCAGUCAGACUACCUACAGGCGAGUGAGCAGGACAUUCUCAAGUACGUUGUGAAGUGGGGCGAGCAGCAGCUUAUUAAGAGGAUGGCAGACCGGGAGCCUAACGUGCUGAGCGGAACAGCCCACAGCGUGAACAAGCGGGGGGUGAAGAGGAAGGACCUGGAUGUGGAGGAGCUGAAGGAGAUCCUGUCCCCCCUGCUUCCCUUCAUCCGCACUGAGCACAUCCUCCCUGCCAACAGCGACGUCCUCUCUGACGCGACAAAGAGGGGUCUGAUCAGUACCCCUCCCUCGGACAUGCUGCCCACGACUGAGGGGGGCAAGGCCAACUCGUGGUUACGGCAGAAGAACGGUGGCAUCUAUGUGCGACCACGUCUCUUCUCUCCAUACGUGGAGGAGGCCAAGUCUGUGCUGGAUGAGAUGAUGGUGGAACAGACAGAUCUGGUGCGUCUACGUUUGGUGCGCAUGUCCAACGUGCCAGACACCCUCUACAUGGUCAACAACGCCGUGCCACAGUGCUGUCACAUGAUCAACCAUCAGCAGAUGGCCAGCAGCCAGACCACCGCUCCGUCCGUGGUAGCCAAUGAGAUCCCAGUACCCAGACUGGUGGUGGUUAAGGAGAUGGUCCAGAGGCUGCAGGAGCUGAGUCACACCGACCAGGUCCAGAGGGCCUACGCCCUCAACUGUGGCGAGGGGCCCACCGUCAGCUAUGAGCUGCAGCUGCGUGUGCUGAGGGAGUUUGGCCUGGCGGAUGGGGCGACUGAGCUACUGCAGAACCCUUACAAGUUCUUCCCAGAGGAGCGUUUUGGAGACGAGAGUCCUGUUCUGGCCCUGCGCCAGGCAGGUCGUUGUCGGGUCAACAGCAGCCCAGCGAUGGACAGCAUGUUCUCAGACCUGGAGGGCCUGGCUGGGUUUCACCCCCCACUGCCUCCCCCACCACCCCCAUACCACCCCCCUGCCACCCCCAGCCGUGCCCAGCUGAAGGGGGCCUGGAGGCCUCGUGUGCCCAUCCCACCCCCCACCCGCUCUUUCUCCUACCCCUGUAACCACAGUCUGCUCCAGCUCCACACCACAGCCAAACAUGGCAGCCCAGACUACCCCUCAGCCCCCAGGCCUCCACCUCCAGACUGCGGCAACCCCCAGGCCAAGAGCCGAGCCCUGCUCCCAGAACCACAGCUGAGCAUGGAGCCUGUGAUGAGGGAGUUCAUGCCUGACAUCGCUCUGGGUGUCUCUGUCAUGACCCUGAGGGAGCACCAUAUGGGGGACAGGGACGGUCACGACCCUCAUGGCCCCAUGGCCCACCCGGCCCCACACCUCCCCCGGCCCCUGUCCCUCCACUCGCCUCAGCCUCAGUCAUGGUCACUCCUGUAAGAGGCACGCGACAGAGCCAAAGCUGGAGGCCCAGGCAGAGUUCCCUGAUCUGUAUGACUUCUCCUGCCGACCAACCACCGCAACAUCCAGCCACCCCCUGCCCCCCUACGCAGGGCCAGACCUCUACAGCCACAGCUCCUCCAGCCACCCUCCCUCCUACAUGUCUGACAGCCAGGGAAGGGCAGCUGAGGCACGCUCUGACCCCCUGCGCCUGGACGUCCUAGGCCUGCCCCCCCAGUGGCAGGAUGGAGCUCUGGCUAACCCCUCUAGUCCCCAGGCUGGGGAAGGACACAUCCCCAGAGGACGUUCAAACAAUGAGACCGACCUUACUCACGGUCUUGGCAACUUGUGUGGCUCCCCCAGUGGAAACCUAGAGGGGUAUGAGGAGCGGUCGUCGGCCCACAGGGAAGGCCCGAAGGAGAUGGCGGUUACUGGCGAGUCCCCAGGUUCAGGGGCCCAGCAGCCACAUAGGAACAGUAUUAGCGAGGAGGCUAGCAGAGAACGCAGGUCACCCAACAACCCUGACUACCCUUACAAGAAGUCUGCACUAUAACCCUCGGGGAGGACCUGGGGUUGAGUCGUCAAAAGGGAAAGUGAGGGAAACAACCCUCUGUCAUGGACAGCAAAGCACUAAUGAGUGUGUGAAGGGGUGGCUAAUGAUUUCUAUUUAUUGUGUGGUGUGUGUGUGUGUAAGUACCCUACCUCCUCCAGGCCUUUCUCCAUGACAUAGUGCUGUCUUCACCUCACGUCUCCUCUGAGUGCUACAGAGAAGCAGCAUCAGGACUGUAGGUUAGUUAGAGAAACAGCAGUGACUGUCAGACUGUUGUAUUGAAGCUUGGUGAAGCCAACCUCAAUGCUGCCGUUUUACAAUAUAACUCCAGCAGUACUGUUUGGGAGGGGUUUUGCCUAUUUCCCUUGAGCCUUGUUGCACCACAGGUUUGUUGUGACCUCAAAGUUGUGGGAAUCAGGAACAAAGAUCUUAUCAUAAAGAAGAUCAUAACAAAGACGUUACUAUGAUCGUAACCAUGAAAUGUAGUUCAGAUGUGCUGAGGAUGUAUAAUAUACAUAUGGACUGUAGUCCUCAGGAUAUAUUUUAACUGGGAGAUGUAUAAAUAGGAUCUCAGUAUAAACUAGUUAACACCAGCACAUAGCUUCAAUCAGCGUUAUCUUCAUGAUAAAAUCGUGUAGAAACAUUUUCUUGCUCCUCUCAUUUGUAUUUCCUCUCUCUUCCUGUAGCAUUCCUCCAGUACGUACCUCACCUGAUUGGUUACAUUUGAUUUCCCCUUUCUAGUGCUGCAUGUUACACAGAAAUGCUGAUGAGUAAUAGGCUCAGGCUAGUUCAGAUCAGGCAGGAAGUAAGGUCUGUUGAGGCUGUCAUUGUGCUGCCUCUUCAGUCUCUGAUAUACAGAGCAUUCAGAAUGUAUUCAGCCCCCUUGACUUUUUCUACAUUUUGUUAUGUUACAGGCUUAUUCUAAAAUUGAUUAAAUGGAUUUUUUCCCCUUGUCAAUCUAUACACAAUAACCCAUAAUGACAAAGCAAAAACAAAUAUUUGCAGACCCUUUACUCAGUACUUUGUUGAAGCACCUUUGGCAGCGAUUACAGCUUUGAGUCUUCUUGGGAAUGAUGCUACAAGCUUGUCAGGUUGGAUGGCGAGCAUCGCUGCACAGCUAUUUUCAGGUCUCUCCAGAGAUGUUCAAUCUGUGUUCAAGUCCGGGCUCUGGCUGGGCCACUCAAGGACAUUCAGAGACGUGUUCUGAAGCCACCAUGCUUCACCAUAGGGACUGUGCCAGGUUUCCUCCAGAUGUGAUUCUUGGCAUUCAGGCCAAAGAGUUCAAUCUUGGUUUCAUCAGAGCAGAUAAUCUUGUUUCUCAUGGUCUGAGCGUCUUUGGGUGCCUUUUACCAAACUCCAACUGGGCUGUCGUGUGCCUUUUACUGAGUAGUGGCUUAUGUUUGGCCACUCUACCAUAAAGGCCUGAUUGGUAGAGUGCUGCAGAGAUGGUUGUCCUUCUGGAAGAUUCUCCCAUCUCCACAGAGGACCUCUGGAGCUCUGUCAGAGUGACCAUCAGGUUCUUGGUCACCUCCCUGACCAAGGCCCUUCUCCUCCGAUUGCUCAGUUUUGCCAUGCGGCCAGCUCUAGGAAGAGUCUUGGUGGUUCCGAACGUCUUCCAUUUAAGAAUGAUGGAGGCCACUGUGUUCUUGGGGGAUCUUCAAUGCUGUAGACAUUUUUUGGUGCCCUUCCCCAGAUCUGUACCUCGACGCUAUCCUGUCUUGAAGCUUUACGGACAAUUCCUUCGACCUCAUGGCUUGAUUUCUACUCUGACAUGCACUGUCAACUGUGGGACCUUUAAAUAUAGACAGGUGUGUGCCUUUCCAAAUCAUGUCUAAUCAAUACAAUCUACCACAGUUGGUAAUCAUGUUGUAGAAACAUCUAAAGGAUAAUCAAUGGAAACAGGAUGCACCUGAACUCAAUUUCAAGUCUCACAGCAAAGGGUUCCAAAUACUUAUGUAAAUAAAGUAUUUAUUUUAAAAUGUAAUACAUUUGCAAAAAUUCUAAACCUGUUUUUUUCCAAUGUCAUUGUGGGGUAAUGAGUGUAGAUUGCUGAGAUUUUUUUAUUGAAUCCUUUUUUAGAACAAGGCUGUAAGGUAACAAAAUAUUGAAAAAGUCAAGGGUUCUGAAUACUUUCCCGAAGGCAAGAAAAAGUAUGUGAACCCUUUGGAAACACCUGGAUUUCUGCAUGAAUUGUUCAUAAUUUGAUCCGAUCAUCUAGGUCACAACAAUAGACAAACUCAGUCUGCUUAAACUAAUAACACACAAACAAUUAUACGUUUUCAUGUCUUAUUGAGCACACCGUGUGAACAUUCAGUGCAGGGUGGAAAAAGUGUAUGAACACUUGGAUUUAAUAACUGGUUGACCCUCCUUUUGGCAGCAAUAACCUCAACCAAACGUUUUUCUGUAGUUGAAGAUCAUACCUGCACAACGGUCAGGAGGAAUUUUAGACCGUUCUUCUUUACAAAACUGUCUCAGUUCAGCAAUAUUCUUGGGAUGUCUGGUGUGAACUUCUCUCAUGAGGUCAUACCACAGCAUCUAAAAUCGGGUUGAGGUCAGGACUCUUUUUUUUUCUGCUGUUGAAGCCAUUCUGUUGUUGAUUUACUUCGGUGUUGUGGGUCGUUGUCCUAUUGUGUCACCCAACUUCUGUUGAGCUUCAAUUUUCAGACAGAUAGCCUAACAUUCUCCUGCACAAUGUAUUAAUUCACUUGGGGAUUCAUUUUUCCGUCAUCGAUAGCAAAGAUGACUGCAAGAGCACAGAGCAGAAUGCUCAAUGUUAAGAAGAAUUGCCCAGGCCCUGAGGCAGCCCCAAGCCAUGAUGCUCCCUCAACCAUAGGUUUUUAUGUUGCUGUGCCUUUUUUUCACACGUAGUGUUGUGUGUUCCUUCCUGACAACUCAACUGUAGUUUCAUCUGUCCACAGAAUAUUUUGCCAAUAGAGCUGUGGAACAUCCAGUUGCACUUUUGCAAACUUCAGACGUAGAGCAAUGCUUUUUUUGGGGGGGGGGGGGAGCAGUGGCUUCUUCCAUGGUGUCCUCCCAUGAACACCAUUCUUGUUUAGUGUUUUACGUAUAGUAGACUCGUCAACAGAGAUGUUAUCAUGUUCCAGAGAUUUCUAUUAGUCUAUUAGUUGACAUUAGGAUUCUUCUUAACAUUGAGCAUUCUACUCUGUGCUCUUGCAGUCAGUCAUCUUUGCAGGAAGGCCACUCCUAGGGAGAGUAGCAACAGUGCUGAACUUUCUCCAUUUAUAGACAAUUUGUCUUAUCGUGGACUGAUGAACAUUGAGGCUUUUAGAGAUACUUUUGUAACCCCUUUCAGCUUUAUUCAAGUCAACAAUUUGUAAUCUUAGGUCUUCUGAGAUCUCUUUUGUUCGAGGCAUGGUUCACAUCAGGCAAACUCAAAUGUUGUGGAUUUUUUUUUUUUUAAUAGGGCAAAGCAGCUCUCAUCAACAUCCAGGUUAGCUGACUCCUUACUCCAAUUAGCUUUUGGAGAAGUCAUUAUGUAUUAUGUAUUAUAAAUGAUACAUUAUGUAUUCAAUAUAGACAAGAAAAAUACAAUAAUGUGUGUUAUUAGUUUAAGCACAUUGUCUAUUGUUGUGACUUAGAUGAAGAUCAGAUCAAAUUUGAUAACCAAUUUAUGCAGAAGUCCAGGUAAUUCCAAAGGGUUCACAUACUUUUUCUUGCCACUAUGUAUUUUCAAAAACAUGAGCCUGGGGGUUUUUGGAACAAGACUGGAGGGAGGGGGCAGAGGUUAAGGACUGAGGUACACUGGGAAAAAUAAUGGUGCAAUGAACACGCUAGUCAGGAGAUGUUUUAUUUCAGCUGAAUAUGUGUGUGUAGUUUAAUAAUUCCAGGUAACUGUAAAUAAUCUCAGUACUGUACACACUCCAUUUUUAAUCAGGUCUGUAUUUACCUAUAAACACAAGGCUCUGAUCUGAAAUGGUUAACCAGAGACCGACCAUAGAAUGCUGUGGUCAAUAUGCUUGAAACCACCUUGCUCUUUUAACGGCAUAAACAAUUAGAAGUCUUAAUCCACUUUUUGAAGUGACCAUAAGGGAUCCAUCACAAGCGUGACGCCACCACUGGCUCUACUAGUUGUUUGUGUGAAUCUAAUGUUCACCCUCGAACACUAUCCAUUCACAUGUCCUCAGUCUGUUCAUUUGUGUUGUUCCUAUGUACAAUGUAACCACUGUCACUCCACCUUUUGGCUGAUCCUGGACCUGCGAAGACCUGCUCGCUGUCGUCGGAGGUUACGGCAUACUGUAUGAGAGCUACUGGGGCUGUUGCUACAGAAACCAAAGUGCACCCAUCAGAUCCUGUGAGAUCAGCCACACAUGUCUCCUCUAACACAAACUGACAAACCCAUGAUACAGGCAACAUUGCACUGUAGAAAUGAUCCAUUUCACAUGGGAGCAGGGGGAUAAAUUAGUUUAGAACAAAAGAGCUCCAGAACAACGGCAUAAUUCUUAAAUUAAACCAUGCAUUUCUACCAUUCAGUAAUCCUGAGCAUAAAUCGUAAUUAUUCAUGUAAUAUUUUAAUAUAUUGUACAACAGAUCCUUAUUACAUCUUAGUGGUGGUACUGUAAAUGAAUUAUUCAGCUGUUUUGUAGCUGUGGUGGACUACACUGUGAGGUUGUGUUCAGCACCACAUUUCACCAAGAAAGGAUAGUCUGAAAGAUGGUCAGACUCAAACUUUUUAUUUUUGUUCAUUAAAAUGUUUUCUUUUAGGGAAAUGUUAAUAUUGUUAUUGGUGUGGAAUACCAUGAAGUUGUAGGUUUUAUACCAUUUGUUUUUUUAAACUGCCCAGUGUUUCCAGAUUUCUAUGAAAUAUGACCUAUAGUUACUUACAAUGAGUUUAAAUAGUUUUCCUUCCAGAAAAUAAUUGUUACAGAAGCAGCUUUGUGGUGGAAUGGUGUGGGCAUAUACCGGUCAUUAAAAUAUAUGCGCAAGUAGACUGCUGAUUGGACAGCUCAUCCUUCUCAGAGAUGACAUGUCCUAAGGAUUUUUUAAAAUGUUUUAAUCCAAUUCAUGCUUUUGCAACAUUUGGAUAUUAACUUUUUAAAGUUAAAUUUUCACUGGGCAGUUACUUAAGUAGCACAUGGACAUGUAGAUAUUCACUCUGCAUUGUGAUAAUGAAGUUGCUGGGCAGAGAACCCUUUUCCAUCCAAUUUGCUUCAUGGGGAAAAAAUGCAAAACUUUAGAUUCCUCCCCAUGUUGGUUAGUUGCUUUAUUUUCCAGGACAGUUUCCCCAUGAAUAAAAACCCUCCACAUCCUGUUUGCUCUUUACUGUAGAAGUCAGUGCCUUCCCCUGCCAAGAGGCUGGGCUGUUAUUUGAGAAGUGACUGUCCUAUGCAAGCCUUUUCUACCAGCUUGUAUCAAAAAGCCCUUUGUAAAACUCAUGUAGCUAGUUAUUAGUGUACAUGUUUUUUUUGUUUAGGUACCUUUUUAAAAUGUAACCCUCUGGAACUGUGUUUGAUAAUUGAACAGGUACGCUGUAUGUAAAACACUUUUGUAGAUCCCUGUAUUUGGUUUUACGUGUUCUAUUUUUCUACUGUUAACUCAAAUGGUGCAUAACAGUGUGGAACUUGGGCAUCUUCGAAAUAAACUGCUUCAAUAUAA